AAGGUUCUGCAAUGUUUGUGGUUUGACAAUUAGUUGUUCCAACACUUUAACAUUGGGAGUCCGGGUCUAAAAGUGGAGCAAAUGCCUUAAUUUUAAGGACUUGCGAAUCUGAUAGCAGGGCACCCACCUAUUUGAGCGUCCGGGUUCAAAUAGUAGUCAUAUCACGGCAAAGCGGAACCUUU
RNAcentral lists this non-coding RNA (182 nucleotides) under Candidatus Oleimmundimicrobium sp. Its description in RNAcentral is "6S RNA". It matches the Rfam family "6S / SsrS RNA". From Rfam's summary of the family: E. coli 6S RNA was the first non coding RNA to be sequenced, but its function was unknown until recently. Lineage: Bacteria; Bacillati; Actinomycetota; Candidatus Aquicultoria; Candidatus Subteraquimicrobiales; Candidatus Oleimmundimicrobiaceae. The record is from RNAcentral.